GCCAAAGGUGUAAGGUUUGAGAGUAUUUUUGGGCGUUAAUCAGAUCAGGAGUAGAGGUCAGUGGCAGAUAGCUUAGCAAGGAUCGUUGGGCCAUCGCCGUUUUAUUUAGCUUGAUUUGAGGCCUUGUAUGCCUACUUGGUUUCGGCCUUGUAG
Dioscorea cayenensis subsp. rotundata (Guinea yam) is the source of this 153-nucleotide long non-coding RNA. RefSeq lists it as uncharacterized. The transcript has 3 exons. Lineage: Eukaryota; Viridiplantae; Streptophyta; Magnoliopsida; Dioscoreales; Dioscoreaceae. The record is from RefSeq and is a predicted model, not a curated record.